AUUGAACGCUAGCGGCAGGCCUAACACAUGCAAGUCGAACGAGUGGCGGACGGGUGAGUAAUAUAUCGGAAAGUGCCCAGUAGCGGGGGAUAACUACUCGAAAGAGUGGCUAAUACCGCAUACUAUUGGAGCGGCCGAUAUGGGAUUAGCUAGUUGGUGGGGUAAAGGCGCACCAAGGCGACGAUCCCUAGCUGGUCUGAGAGGAUGAUCAGCCACACUGGGACUGAGACACGGCCCAGACUCCUACGGGAGGCAGCAGUGGGGAAUAUUGCACAAUGGGCGCAAGCCUGAUGCAGCCAUGCCGCGUGUAUGAAGAAGGCCUUCGGGUUGUAAAGUACUUUCAGUCAGGAGGCGUUACCGGCAGAAGAAGCACCGGCUAACUCCGUGCCAGCAGCCGCGGUAAUUC
Molecule: ribosomal RNA, 406 nt
Filed under: uncultured bacterium
Lineage: Bacteria
Description: partial 16S ribosomal RNA
Rfam family: Bacterial small subunit ribosomal RNA
Source: RNAcentral